Molecule: long non-coding RNA, 151 nt
Organism: Oncorhynchus keta (chum salmon)
Lineage: Eukaryota; Metazoa; Chordata; Actinopteri; Salmoniformes; Salmonidae
Exons: 3
Source: RefSeq, a predicted model, not a curated record
CUACUCAUCUGACGACUAGCAGGUAACUAGUUCUAAUACUCUACUACUCACCUGACGACCAGCAGGUAACUAGUUCUACUACUCUACUACUCACCUGACGACUAGCAGGUAACUAGUUCUACUACUCUACUACACACCUGACGACCAGCAG